CUCAGAAUCAACGCUGGCGGCGUCCUAACACAUGCAAGUCGAACGCGAAAGGGGAGCAAUCCCUGAGUAGAGUGGCAAACGGGUGAGUAACACGUGGGUGACCUGCCUUCGAGUGGGGGAUAACGUCCCGAAAGGGACGCUAAUACCGCAUGACAUCCUGCUCUUGGACGAGCGGAGAUCAAAGCUGGGGAUUCGUAAGAACCUGGCGCUUGAAGAGGGGCCCGCGCCUGAUUAGCUAGUUGGUGAGGUAACGGCUCACCAAGGCUUCGAUCAGUAUCCGGCCUGAGAGGGCGGACGGACACACUGGGACUGAGACACGGCCCAGACUCCUACGGGAGGCAGCAGUGGGGAAUUGUUCGCAAUGGGCGCAAGCCUGACGACGCAACGCCGCGUGGAGGAUGAAGAUUUUCGGAUCGUAAACUCCUGUCGAGUGGAAAGAAUAGCUUCCGGGCGAAUAUCCCGGGAGCCUGACGGUACCACUAAAGGAAGCCCCGGCUAACUCCGUGCCAGCAGCCGCGGUAUACGGGGGGGGCAAGCGUUGUUCGGAAUUACUGGGCGUAAAGGGCUCGUAGGCGGCCAACUAAGUCAGACGUGAAAUCCCCAGGCUUAACCUGGGAACUGCGUCUGAUACUGGAUGGCUUGAAUUCGGGAAGGGAUGCAAAUCCAGGUGUACGCGGUGAAUGCGUAAGAUAUCUGGAGGAUACGGUGGCAAGGCGGCUCUGACGACAUGACGCUGAGGAGCGAAA
Molecule: ribosomal RNA, 746 nt
Filed under: uncultured bacterium
Lineage: Bacteria
Description: bacterial SSU rRNA
Rfam family: Bacterial small subunit ribosomal RNA
Source: RNAcentral